UGUUUAUACGGGUACUUAAUAUUCAAAUCGUUUGUGAUAUAGCCCCGCCCCUUGCCAUAUAAAUAGGACCCGGUCUCUCCUCAGCGCCAUAUUGAGAGCUGAGCACCAGAGGAGGUUGGUUUGUACAAACGACAAAAUGUCUGACGAAGGAAAGCUUUUUAUUGGCGGUCUGAGCUUCGACACCACGGAGCAGUCCCUCGAGGACGCCUUCUCCAAAUAUGGCGUCAUCACCAACGUUCACGUUGCCAGAAACAGAGAAACAAACCGGUCGAGGGGCUUUGGCUUUGUCACAUUUGAGAACCCUGAAGAUGCAAAAGAUGCCAUGGAGGGAAUGAAUGGAAAAUCUGUGGACGGCAGGGCGAUCAGAGUUGACGAAGCUGGAAAGGGUGGCAGUGGCCGCUCUGGAGGUGGUGGAUACAGAGGUGGCAGUGGAGGAGGAAGAGGGGGCGGAUACUUCCGUGGAGGUAGAGGAAGAGGUGGUGGCAGCUAUGGCGGUGGCGAUCGUAGCUAUAGCGGUGGCGAUCGUAGCUACGGUAGCACUGAUCGUGGUUAUGGUGGUGAUCGGGGAUAUAGUGGUGGCUACAAGAGUGGGGGUGGCGGCGGCGGUGGAGGAUAUAAUAGAGACAGGUAAGAAAGGAGUUCCAGCUAUGGAGACCGUGGCAACUCCUACAGAGACAACUAUGAUGGAUAUAGUGCUGCACACGAUUAAGGCCCAAGACCCAACUCUUCACUGGCUGUGUAUUCUAAAGACGUGCUCCUCAAGGAUCUAUCCAUUCAUGUAGUAGCUUUCUUUGUUUAAAAAAAAAAAAAAAACAGCUGAAAUGUGGGACAGGGAGUUCUUCAUGUUGGCUGUGAAAUGUUUCUCUGCUACCACAAUGGUUAUUUGGGUUUUUUUUGCAUAAUUUUCUUUUUCUUUUUUAUACUUCUGAAUAAUGAGCCUCAUGUAAAAUCUUAUUCCUCUUGGUCUGUUCUGGCAGGCUGCCACAGUAUUGCUAUCCACUAGCAAAUUUUCCAUUUUAAUGGAGGUCCUUUAUUUUAUAUUUUGGGUUGCCCUGUUUUAGUGAACAACUACCUCUUUAAAAGGACCUUUUAAAGCAGCUGUGGAAGUUUCAAAGCUAAAAGUUGUAGUAAUACAAUAAAAUUAUCAAUUUGAGCGACCUCUCCAUUUGAAACACCAUUAAUUUGAUAAAGUAGA
RNA transcript from Tachysurus fulvidraco (yellow catfish), 1195 nucleotides. It is a transcript of the gene named cold inducible RNA binding protein a, with no coding region annotated. NCBI's taxonomy places the organism in Eukaryota, Metazoa, Chordata, Actinopteri, Siluriformes, Bagridae. The transcript has 7 exons. The record is from RefSeq and is a predicted model, not a curated record.